GGGGAAUAUUGGACAAUGGGGGCAACCCUGAUCCAGCAAUGCCGCGUGAGUGAUGAAGGCCUUCGGGUUGUAAAGCUCUUUUGCCAGGGACGAUGAUGACGGUACCUGGAGAAUAAGCCCCGGCUAACUCCGUGCCAGCAGCCGCGGUAAUACGGAGGGGGCUAGCGUUGUUCGGAAUUACUGGGCGUAAAGCGCGCGUAGGCGGCUUUGUAAGUUAGAGGUGAAAGCCCAGAGCUCAACUCUGGAAUUGCCUUUAAGACUGCAUCGCUAGAAUCGUGGAGAGGUGAGUGGAAUUCCGAGUGUAGAGGUGAAAUUCGUAGAUAUUCGGAAGAACACCAGUGGCGAAGGCGACUCACUGGACACGUAUUGACGCUGAGGUGCGAAAGCGUGGGGAGCAAA
This 399-nucleotide ribosomal RNA is filed under the name uncultured bacterium. RNAcentral describes it as "bacterial SSU rRNA". It matches the Rfam family "Bacterial small subunit ribosomal RNA", at positions 356 to 772 of the family's 1533-position model. The record is from RNAcentral.